UUUGUGUGUAAGGUACCGAUAAUGCAAGUUCGAGCGGACAGAUGGGAGCUUGCUCCCUGAUGUUAGCGGCGGACGGGUGAGUAACACGUUGGGUAACCUGCCUGUAAGACUGGGAUAACUCCGGGAAACCGGGGCUAAUACCGGAUGGUUGUCUGAACCGCAUGGUUCAGACAUAAAAGGUGGCUUCGGCUACCACUUACAGAUGGACCCGCGGCGCAUUAGCUAGUUGGUGAGGUAACGGCUCACCAAGGCGACGAUGCGUAGCCGACCUGAGAGGGUGAUCGGCCACACUGGGACUGAGACACGGCCCAGACUCCUACGGGAGGCAGCAGUAGGGAAUCUUCCGCAAUGGACGAAAGUCUGACGGAGCAACGCCGCGUGAGUGAUGAAGGUUUUCGGAUCGUAAAGCUCUGUUGUUAGGGAAGAACAAGUGCCGUUCAAAUAGGGCGGCACCUUGACGGUACCUAACCAGAAAGCCACGGCUAACUACGUGCCAGCAGCCGCGGUAAUACGUAGGUGGCAAGCGUUGUCCGGAAUUAUUGGGCGUAAAGGGCUCGCAGGCUGUUUCUUAAGUCUGAUGUGAAAGCCCCCGGCUCAACCGGUGAGGGUCAUUGGAAACUGGUAGAACUUGAUUGCCAAGUAUGGUAGUGGUACUUCCCUGUGU
This 664-nucleotide ribosomal RNA is filed under the name Bacterium MPBA1. Its description in RNAcentral is "bacterial SSU rRNA". It matches the Rfam family "Bacterial small subunit ribosomal RNA", at positions 39 to 676 of the family's 1533-position model. The record is from RNAcentral.